RNAcentral lists this non-coding RNA (30 nucleotides) under Mus musculus (house mouse). The record is from RNAcentral. Lineage: Eukaryota; Metazoa; Chordata; Mammalia; Rodentia; Muridae.
UGACAUUUGAAUCUGCACCAUGGUCUAACA